RNAcentral lists this transfer RNA (74 nucleotides) under Prochlorococcus marinus subsp. pastoris str. CCMP1986. RNAcentral describes it as "tRNA-Met (CAT) (tRNA-Met-CAT-1-1)". It matches the Rfam family "tRNA". Rfam says of the family: Transfer RNA (tRNA) molecules are approximately 80 nucleotides in length. Their secondary structure includes four short double-helical elements and three loops (D, anti-codon, and T loops). Further hydrogen bonds mediate the characteristic L-shaped molecular structure. tRNAs have two regions of fundamental functional importance: the anti-codon, which is responsible for specific mRNA codon recognition, and the 3' end, to which the tRNAs corresponding amino acid is attached (by aminoacyl-tRNA synthetases). tRNAs cope with the degeneracy of the genetic code in two manners: having more than one tRNA (with a specific anti-codon) for a particular amino acid; and 'wobble' base-pairing, i.e. permitting non-standard base-pairing at the 3rd anti-codon position. Lineage: Bacteria; Bacillati; Cyanobacteriota; Cyanophyceae; Synechococcales; Prochlorococcaceae. The record is from RNAcentral. RNAcentral also lists the same sequence under 7 other names.
GUCAAUGUAGCUCAGUUGGUUAGAGCACGACAUUCAUAUCGUCGCGGUCGGCGGUUCAAAUCCGCCCAUUGACA